RNAcentral lists this ribosomal RNA (497 nucleotides) under uncultured bacterium. RNAcentral's name for it is "partial 16S ribosomal RNA". It matches the Rfam family "Bacterial small subunit ribosomal RNA", at positions 28 to 507 of the family's 1533-position model. The record is from RNAcentral.
GAUGAACGCUGGCGGCGUGCCUAAUACAUGCAAGUCGAGCGAACAGAUAAGGAGCUUGCUCCUUUGACGUUAGCGGCGGACGGGUGAGUAACACGUGGGUAACCUACCUAUAAGACUGGAAUAACUCCGGGAAACCGGGGCUAAUGCAGGAUAACAUGUUGAACCGCAUGGUUCUACAGUGAAAGGCGGCUUUGCUGUCACUUAUAGAUGGACCCGCGCCGUAUUAGCUAGUUGGUGAGGUAACGGCUCACCAAGGCAACGAUACGUAGCCGACCUGAGAGGGUGAUCGGCCACACGGGAACUGAGACACGGUCCAGACUCCUACGGGAGGCAGCAGUAGGGAAUCUUCCGCAAUGGGCGAAAGCCUGACGGAGCAACGCCGCGUGAGUGAUGAAGGUCUUCGGAUCGUAAAACUCUGUUAUUAGGGAAGAACAAAUGCGUAAGUAACUGUGCGCGUCUUGACGGUACCUAAUCAGAAAGCCACGGCUAACUACGUG